This 148-nucleotide small RNA is filed under the name Papio anubis (olive baboon). Its description in RNAcentral is "Metazoan signal recognition particle RNA (ENSPANG00000048151.1)". The record is from Rfam by way of RNAcentral. Lineage: Eukaryota; Metazoa; Chordata; Mammalia; Primates; Cercopithecidae.
GCCGGGUGUGGUGGCGCACACCUGUAAUCCCAGCUACUCAGGAGGCUGAGGCAGGAGGAUCGCUUGAACCUGGGAGACGGAGGUUGCAGUGAGCUGAGAUUAUGCCACUGCACUCCAGCCCGGGCGACAGAAUGAGACUCAGUCUCAA